UACGGAGGGUGCAAGCGUUAUCCGGAUUCACUGGGCUUAAAGGGUGCGUAGGCGGAUAGGUAAGUCCGUGGUGAAAUCCUGCAGCUUAACUGCAGAACUGCCAUGGAUACUAUUUAUCUUGAGUGUCGUGGAGGUUAGCAGAAUAUGUCAUGUAGCGGUGAAAUGCUUAGAUAUGACAUAGAAUACCCAUUGCGAAGGCAGCUAACUAGGCGAUAAUUGACGCUGAUGCACGAAAGCGUGGGGAUCAAACAGG
RNAcentral lists this ribosomal RNA (253 nucleotides) under uncultured bacterium. RNAcentral describes it as "partial 16S ribosomal RNA". It matches the Rfam family "Bacterial small subunit ribosomal RNA", at positions 524 to 776 of the family's 1533-position model. The record is from RNAcentral.